Molecule: ribosomal RNA, 497 nt
Filed under: uncultured bacterium
Lineage: Bacteria
Description: partial 16S ribosomal RNA
Rfam family: Bacterial small subunit ribosomal RNA
Source: RNAcentral
GAUGAACGCUGGCGGCGUGCCUAAUACAUGCAAGUCGAGCGAACAGACGAGGAGCUUGCUCCUCUGACGUUAGCGGCGGACGGGUGAGUAACACGUGGAUAACCUACCUAUAAGACUGGGAUAACUUCGGGAAACCGGAGCUAAUACCGGAUAAUAUAUUGAACCGCAUGGUUCAAUAGUGAAAGACGGUUUUGCUGUCACUUAUAGAUGGAUCCGCGCCGCAUUAGCUAGUUGGUAAGGUAACGGCCUACCAAGGCAACGAUGCGUAGCCGACCUGAGAGGGUGGUCGGCCACACUGGAAGUGAGACACGGUCCAGGCUCCUACGGGAGGGAGCAGUAGGGAAUCUGCCGCAAUGGGCGAAAGCCUGACGGAGCAACGCCGCGUGAGUGAUGAAGGUCUUCGGAUCGUAAAACUCUGUUAUUAGGGAAGAACAAAUGUGUAAGUAACUAUGCACGUCUUGACGGUACCUAAUCAGAAAGCCACGGCUAACUACGUG